CAAGCUUCGGCUAUUAGCGAUUUAUUCGCAUAAAGUUCUAUAUAGAAUACAGAUAAUGACUAUUUUCUAUAUAAAAGUCUUGACUAAAACACGUGCCAGCAGUCGCGGCAACACGGGACAGACUAGUGUUAUUCAUCUUUAAUAGGUUUAAAGGGUACUUAGACGGCUAAUUUAGCCCCCAUUGAACUGGGAUGGUACAAAUUUGCUAGAGUUUUAUAUGAGAGGGAUUUAGUACUAACAGAGUAGAGAUGAAAUUCUUUGAUACUGUAGGGCACUGAUAACGGCGAAGGCAGACCUUUAUGUAAAAACUGACGUUGAGGGACGAAGGCUUGGGUAACAAACAGGAUUAGGUACCCUAAUAGUCCAGGCAGAAAAUGAUGAGUGCCAUAGAUUAGAAAAUAUUUGAUCUAUAAAUGAAAGUGAAAGCACUCCACCUUAAGAGUAAUGCGGCAACGCAGGAACUGAAAUCAUUAGACCGUUUCUGAUACCAGUAGUGAAGUAUGUUGUUCAAUUCGAUGAUCCACGAAAAAUCUUACCACAAUUUGAAUAUUAUAACAUUAAUAGGAAAAUCUUUUAUGAAAGUGUUAAUAAUACAGGUGUUGCAUGGCUGUCUUCAGUUGAUGUCGUGAGAUGCAGGUUAGCUCCAAUAAAUCAACGUGAACCCUUACUUUAUUUUAGAUGACAAUGUCAUCUACAUAGAGUAGUUCCCCGGCAUAUCGGAUAGAUAACAGGGACUAAGACAAGUCCUCAUGGCCCGGACAUUGUGGGCUAUAGACGUGCCACAUAUACC
RNAcentral lists this ribosomal RNA (790 nucleotides) under Arthonia thoriana. RNAcentral describes it as "SSU rRNA". It matches the Rfam family "Bacterial small subunit ribosomal RNA", at positions 393 to 1235 of the family's 1533-position model. The record is from RNAcentral. Lineage: Eukaryota; Fungi; Ascomycota; Arthoniomycetes; Arthoniales; Arthoniaceae.